RNAcentral lists this ribosomal RNA (253 nucleotides) under uncultured archaeon. RNAcentral describes it as "partial 16S ribosomal RNA". It matches the Rfam family "Archaeal small subunit ribosomal RNA", at positions 474 to 727 of the family's 1478-position model. The record is from RNAcentral.
UACCAGCUCCGCGAGUGGUCGGGGCGUUUAUUGGGCCUAAAGCGUCCGUAGCCGGCCCAGUAAGUUCCUCCUUAAAUCCCAUGGCUCAACCAUGGGGCUGGGAGGAAUACUACUGGGCUAGGGGGCGGGAGAGGCCGAGGGUAUUCCCGGGGUAGGGGCGAAAUCCUAUAAUCCCAGGAAGACCACCAAUGGCGGAGGCACUCGGCCAGAACGCGCCCGACGGUGAGGGACGAAAGCCAGGGGAGCAAAAGGG